Molecule: unclassified non-coding RNA, 466 nt
Filed under: Hevea brasiliensis (rubber tree)
Lineage: Eukaryota; Viridiplantae; Streptophyta; Magnoliopsida; Malpighiales; Euphorbiaceae
Source: RNAcentral
UUAACUGCAGGUUCUUUUUUUGGCCGAAUAACCUCGGGCUCAGCACCACUAACAUCUUCAUUGAUAUCUUCAUCCUCUGACUCAAUAUCACAGAAUGUCACAACAGGAGCUCGUUUAACAUCACAACUAGUUUCAUUAAAGCUAUCCCCAUAUUUGUGUGAAGAAACACGAGAAGAGGGAUAAUCAAGACUCAAAAUUGACUCAUUUGAAGCCCAAUCUGGUUGGCUUAGAUCACUGAACUCUAAGCCUCUGUCUUUGCGACCAGUUGAAGCCUUCAUAUUGUGUGUACUCCUUGACAAAUCUCUAGAUUUCUCAAAACUACUCGAAAAUCUGAAAGUACCAGAACUCCCCACCCUUCCCAGCAAUUCAUGUGAAUGAUCACGACUAAUGGAGGUAGAUGCCAAAUCAGUGGAUUCAUUGAUUAAACCAGAAAAUUCACCAACACUCUCAUCACCAUUACACCUCU